Molecule: ribosomal RNA, 247 nt
Filed under: uncultured bacterium
Lineage: Bacteria
Description: partial 16S ribosomal RNA
Rfam family: Bacterial small subunit ribosomal RNA
Source: RNAcentral
GAUCCUGGCUCAGAUUGAACGCUGGCGGCAGGCUUAACACAUGCAAGUCGAACGGUAACAUAAAGAAGCUUGCUUCUUUGAUGACGAGUGGCGGACGGGUGAGUAAUGCUUGGGAAUCUAGCUCAUGGAGGGGGAUAACUACGGGAAACUGUAGCUAAUACCGCGUAAUAUCGAAAGAUUAAAGUGUGGGACCUUCGGGCCACAUGCCAUAAGAUGAGCCCAAGUGGGAUUAGGUAGUUGGUGAGGG